GAUGAACGCUGGCGGCGUGCCUAAUACAUGCAAGUCGAGCGAACAGACGAGGAGCUUGCUCCUUCGACGUUAGCGGCGGACGGGUGAGUAACACGUAGGUAACCUACCUAUAAGACUGGGAUAACUUCGGGAAACCGGAGCUAAUACCGGAUAAUAUUUCGAACCGCAUGGUUCGAUAGUGAAAGAUGGCUUUGCUCUCACUUAUAGAUGGACCUGCGCCGUAUUAGCUAGUUGGUAAGGUAACGGCUUACCAAGGCAACGAUACGUAGCCGACCUGAGAGGGUGAUCGGCCACACUGGAACUGAGACACGGUCCAGACUCCUACGGGAGGCAGCAGUAGGGAAUCUUCCGCAAUGGGCGAAAGCCUGACGGAGCAACGCCGCGUGAGUGAUGAAGGUCUUCGGAUCGUAAAACUCUGUUAUUAGGGAAGAACAAACGUGUAAGUAACUGUGCACGUCUUGACGGUACCUAAUCAGAAAGCCACGGCUAACUACGUG
RNAcentral lists this ribosomal RNA (497 nucleotides) under uncultured bacterium. Its description in RNAcentral is "partial 16S ribosomal RNA". It matches the Rfam family "Bacterial small subunit ribosomal RNA", at positions 28 to 507 of the family's 1533-position model. The record is from RNAcentral.